GCGGCCUAUCAGCUUGUUGGUGGGGUAACGGCCCACCAAGGCGACGACGGGUAGCCGGCCUGAGAGGGCGACCGGCCACACUGGGACUGAGACACGGCCCAGACUCCUACGGGAGGCAGCAGUGGGGAAUAUUGCGCAAUGGGCGAAAGCCUGACGCAGCGACGCCGCGUGAGGGAUGAAGGCCUUCGGGUUGUAAACCUCUUUCAGCAGGGAAGAAGCGAAAGUGACGGUACCUGCAGAAGAAGCACCGGCUAACUGCGUGCCAGCAGCCGCGGUAAUACGUAGGGUGCAAGCGUUGUCCGGAUUUAUUGGGCGUAAAGAGCUCGUAGGCGGUCUGUCACGUCGGAUGUGAAAACCCAGGGCUCAACCCUGGGCCUGCAUUCGAUACGGGCAGACUUGAGUGUGGUAGGGGAGACUGGAAUUCCU
Molecule: ribosomal RNA, 426 nt
Filed under: uncultured Actinomycetes bacterium
Lineage: Bacteria; Bacillati; Actinomycetota; Actinomycetes
Description: bacterial SSU rRNA
Rfam family: Bacterial small subunit ribosomal RNA
Source: RNAcentral